AGAGUUUGAUUCUGGCUCAGGAUGAACGCUAGCGGCAGGCUUAACACAUGCAAGUCGAGGGGCAGCGGGAUGUAGCAAUACAUUGCCGGCGACCGGCGGAUGGGUGCGUAACGCGUAUGCAACCUACCUUAUACAGGGGAAUAACCUUUCGAAAGGGAGACUAACACCCAUGGUAUUGAUUUAAGGCAUCUUAGAUUAAUUAAAUAUUUAUAGGUAUAAGAUGGGCAUGCGUAUGAUUAGCUAGUUGGUAAGGUAACGGCUUACCAAGGCGACGAUCAUUAGGGGUUCUGAGAGGAAGGUCCCCCACACUGGUACUGAGACACGGACCAGACUCCUACGGGAGGCAGCAGUGAGGAAUAUUGGUCAAUGGGCGCAAGCCUGAACCAGCCAUGCCGCGUGCCAGGAAGACGGCCUUAUGGGUUGUAAACUGCUUUUACAUAAGACUAACCGUAUAUUUGCGAAUAUACCUGAAUGUAUUAUGAGAAUAAGGAUCGGCUAACUCCGUGCCAGCAGCCGC
RNAcentral lists this ribosomal RNA (517 nucleotides) under uncultured bacterium. RNAcentral describes it as "bacterial SSU rRNA". It matches the Rfam family "Bacterial small subunit ribosomal RNA", at positions 8 to 518 of the family's 1533-position model. The record is from RNAcentral.